GGAUGGUACUAUAGAACGCCACCUCAAGGUAGGCCUAGUGGCGCCAUCUCUUGGUCAGGCCGGAAACUUAUCAAUCCACCCUCGUAUAUUUUUGUUCAUUAUUUUAUAUUUUUGUUGUUGUGUAUACAACUGAUGAGUUCUGUGAUAAGUAAUUAAAUUUUGAUGCGUGCAAUCAAAAUCCCCGGAUGGCUGCUAAUAAGUAUGCCAUAAUUUAUCCUUACAGAAGGCAUCCAAUGUUCUUUGUUUUUCCGAAGUUGGACAGAAAUUUAAGAGAAACGGGUCAAGUUUUUAAUCAUCACAGGGAAGUUGGUGGACAGCGACAAAACAUCCUGGAUGUGGAGCGAGUUAUAAAUGAUUUUCAUCGAGGAUUGAGGCGAAAAUUGUGUAGGGUGAGAUGUAUCUACAAUUCCUUCAAAUACUCUUCCUGAUCUCCUGGAAAACGUGCCUUUGAAUGUGCUUCAGAAAAUGAUUUACCAACACGAUGGCUGCCGUGCUCAUCGAUAUAGCCCUGUUGUUGCAUAAAUUGACCAACGUUUUGGAAAUCGAUGGAUAGGGUAUAAAACUCGCAACCAAAGAAAUGCUAACUACAUUCAUUGGCCAUCGAGAUCACCGGAUCUCAGUCCAACAGACUUUUUUUGUGGGGGCACCUGAAGACCUGCAUUUGUGCGUUGGUAGAAAAGGUUGUCAAGGAACGACUUGUCGAAGCCUGUGACUCUCUAACACGAUUUAAAACGUUUGCGCAUUUGUUUAAUGCACAUCGUAAAACCAAAUUUCUUUUUUUUUUUUUGCUAAAUGCAUCAUUUAAUUGAGUAAUAACUUAACAAACGAAAAUCAAUAUUAAGCUGAGCAUUAUUUAUUUCAAUUAGAGAUUACUCUUAUAGGCAUCAGACUACCGGAGAUAGUAGUUACUGCAAUUUAAUGAAAAAUAAUACUAAAUAGAAAACUCGAUAUCUUAACGAUUAUUGUGAUAAAAUUAGUCUAGGACAAAUAAAGGAACUUGCUUCAUAACUGGAA
Belonocnema kinseyi is the source of this 1014-nucleotide long non-coding RNA. RefSeq lists it as uncharacterized. The transcript is spliced from 3 exons. The record is from RefSeq and is a predicted model, not a curated record. NCBI's taxonomy places the organism in Eukaryota, Metazoa, Arthropoda, Insecta, Hymenoptera, Cynipidae.